Long non-coding RNA from Cebus imitator (Panamanian white-faced capuchin), 1881 nucleotides. RefSeq lists it as uncharacterized. The record is from RefSeq and is a predicted model, not a curated record. Lineage: Eukaryota; Metazoa; Chordata; Mammalia; Primates; Cebidae. The transcript has 3 exons.
CGCACUCCACAAUUUCCAGGCUGCCAGUGUGGCUGGGGAAGGGGCAGGACAAGCACACUCAUCUGGACUGUGUCUGAAGCAGCUCAGAGAAUCAGACAAAGGUGGCAUCUAAAAUAAGGACCCGGAUGCGAUGGGAGCAAAGGUAAUAUGUGUCUCCACUGCUGCAGCUGAAGAACUGCGGUAGAGUGGCCCUGGUCAUCAUGCAGAAAAAUGAUUCCUGAUCACCAGUCCAAGGAACCACAGAAAGAAGAGAUGGGGCCACAACUGGAACAUAGAUCUGAGAUCUGCCUUUUAAUUUGUACCUUCUCCUAGGGUGAAGACAGGGAGGCAGGAAGGGGAUUACUGGGGGCUGCAGUAAAGAACAAGCUCUGUGCAAAGGAAGCCUCUCUUACUAUGCAGCAUCUCACCUAAUUAACCCUCACAACAGCUCUAUGUGGUUGGUCCUAUUAUUAUUCCCAUUUUAUAGAUGGGGAAACUGAGACUCAAAAAUGUUGAGUAAGUAGUGCUGCGUCCCAAGAUGAGGACAAAGGGGAACCAUGGCUGGAACACAGGCCUCUGGACACUCCAAAUCAUAGCAUUGCCCUGUGAUUCUGCCACGUUUUGACCCAGCACAAAAGCUCUCGCUAGAAGCCAAGUGGAUGCUGCCACCAUUUGAACUUCCCAGUCUGCAGAACUGUGAGCUCUACCUCUUUAUAAAUUACCUAUCUCAAGUAUUCUGUUACAAGAACACCAAAUGGACUAAGGUAAGUAUUUAUCCAAAGGAAAUAAAAAUGUAUGUCUGCUUCCCCUUCAGUAGGAAAAGUCACUUCAUCUCUUAACCUUAAAUGAUCUUCCAAGCAAGAGGAGGGGAGAGGGGGAGUAUAAGGUUUUUUUCUGUCCCAUCUUUUUCAGAAGGUAUCUAAGUCCUUCCUGUGUAUGUCUUCUAAAGACACGGUACCAGGACCUAGAAAGGCUGAGAUUUAGAGCCUCAUGGUUCAAACUGAGUUGUAGGGUCCUAGCCAGGAGUACUUGCCUGGAUCUUCUAAGAAUCUCACAACAGUGCCACAUGCCUCAGCUUUACCCAAGCAACAGAAGGAGGUGGUGGAGGUGGCGGCAGCAGCAGCAGCAGCAGCAGUGGCAGCAAAUCUGUCCCCAGUGCACUACAGUACUGUUUUGCUAUGAUGAAAUACACAUGGCAUAUGGCUACAAAGUUACUAUCUUGAGAGUGGAUAGAAAUGGGAUUUUUCAUGUGCCAGAUUUCACUUCCCUUUCUGAAACAAUUCUUGUAGUAAACAGAGGUUUUUGAUCUUGCUAAGAUCAAGAGGAUGGGAAUUCCUUUAUACUUUUAAAGUAAGACUAUUGUCUUGUAGCGUUUCAGUCUGUUGAUGGUGCAAAUGUUUUUUAACAUUGAUGCUAUUCUGCGUUCCUCCCUCUUUCCUUCCAAAGGCCAUGACAGGAAGAGGAGCUGCCAACACCAGAUGACCAACUCCUUUCCAGUUACAGACCACCCCGGUGAUGAGACCUCCAUAUGUUGUCUGAUGGCCACAGUUCCUUGGCAAAUGGGUGGGGAAGAGGAAAGAGAAGCGUGGCCUGUCAGCCCACCAUCGGAUGGUUCCACACUGACCUCCUCCAUGGCUUGGGGGUUGGAGUGCCCCAGCUGCUGCCGCCCUGGUAGCUUUCAUUAAAGGCCUUUGCUUUUUUGGAAGAAGAGAAUAAUGAGAUGAUGUAUGCAGAGCACUGGCAGAAAGCCUAGCAUAGAGGAAUCUGAAGAUUCACCAUGCAUGCUUCCUGGUGUAUAGUACUAGUCCUUGUCAGUGACACAGAGACUUGAAGACUGUAUAUAAAUGGACACACCUACUAGAAUGUAAGCUUCAUAUAAACAAAGACUUUUUUAAAAAUCUG